GCAACCUCAAACAUAACAGUAUUCUUCUCUCUCCUCUUUCUCGUCUCACCUUCCUUCACCACCACAACCGUCAGAUCCGGAAGUAUAUCUCCCUUCUUCAACCUCUUCUAUUUUCCUCUCAUUCACUCACACCAUUUCAUUCAUUAUUCCCCAGGACCCAGAUUACGAUUGCGUAUACACCAUCUACAUCAGAACCGGUUUAGUCUUAAAAGGAAGAACCGAUUCCAACAUCGGACUCAAACAAUACGACAAUUUAUGCAAACUCAAUAUGAGCAUUGGGAAAGGUGACAGCGACGCAACACAUCAGUCUAGCAAGGCUUGGUGCAACUGACCGAGGAACCAGCACCAGAAUGACCGAGGCAAGGAACAUUGGCGCAUCAGAAUUGGAACAUUGGCGCACCAGAAAUUCGGACUAUUCAUAAACCAAAUAUCAUAAUUUAUUCAAGGGCAUUUUUGUGAAAAGGGGAAAUAAGUAGAGAA
RNAcentral lists this long non-coding RNA (480 nucleotides) under Lupinus angustifolius (narrow-leaved blue lupine). RNAcentral describes it as "long non-coding RNA (LANG_LNC000157)". The record is from RNAcentral. Lineage: Eukaryota; Viridiplantae; Streptophyta; Magnoliopsida; Fabales; Fabaceae.